AUGGUGCUUGCACUAUCACUUAACGGCGGACGGGUGAGUAAUGCUUAGGAAUCUGCCUAUUAGUGGGGGACAACAUUUCGAAAGGAAUGCUAAUACCGCAUACGUCCUACGGGAGAAAGCAGGGGAUCUUCGGACCUUGCGCUAAUAGAUGAGCCUAAGUCGGAUUAGCUAGUUGGUGGGGUAAAGGCCUACCAAGGCGACGAUCUGUAGCGGGUCUGAGAGGAUGAUCCGCCACACUGGGACUGAGACACGGCCCAGACUCCUACGGGAGGCAGCAGUGGGGAAUAUUGGACAAUGGGCGCAAGCCUGAUCCAGCCAUGCCGCGUGUGUGAAGAAGGCCUUAUGGUUGUAAAGCACUUUAAGCGAGGAGGAGGCUACUUUAGAUAAUACCUAGAGAUAGUGGACGUUACUCGCAGAAUAAGCACCGGCUAACUCUGUGCCAGCAGCCGCGGUAAUACAGAGGGUGCAAGCGUUAAUCGGAUUUACUGGGCGUAAAGCGCGCGUAGGCGGCUAAUUAAGUCAAAUGUGAAAUCCCCGAGCUUAACUUGGGAAUUGCAUUCGAUACUGGUUAGCUAGAGUGUGGGAGAGGAUGGUAGAAUUCCAGGUGUAGCGGUGAAAUGCGUAGAGAUCUGGAGGAAUACCGAUGGCGAAGGCAGCCAUCUGGCCUAACACUGACGCUGAGGUGCGAAAGCAUGGGGAGCAAACAGGAUUAGAUACCCUGGUAGUCCAUGCCGUAAACGAUGUCUACUAGCCGUUGGGGCCUUUGAGGCUUUAGUGGCGCAGCUAACGCGAUAAGUAGACCGCCUGGGGAGUACGGUCGCAAGACUAAAACUCAGAUGAAUUGACGGGGGCCCGCACAAGCGGUGGAGCAUGUGGUUUAAUUCGAUGCAACGCGAAGAACCUUACCUGGCCUUGACAUAGUAAGAACUUUCCAGAGAUGGAUUGGUGCCUUCGGGAACUUACAUACAGGUGCUGCAUGGCUGUCGUCAGCUCGUGUCG
Molecule: ribosomal RNA, 999 nt
Filed under: Acinetobacter calcoaceticus
Lineage: Bacteria; Pseudomonadati; Pseudomonadota; Gammaproteobacteria; Moraxellales; Moraxellaceae
Description: bacterial SSU rRNA
Rfam family: Bacterial small subunit ribosomal RNA
Source: RNAcentral